CCUACGGGUGGCUGCAGUAGGGAAUAUUGCUCAAUGGGGGAAACCCUGAAGCAGCAACGCCGCGUGGAGGAUGAAGGUUUUCGGAUUGUAAACUCCUUUUGUUAGAGAAGAUAAUGACGGUAUCUCACGAAUAAGCACCGGCUAACUCCGUGCCAGCAGCCGCGGUAAUACGGAGGGUGCAAGCGUUACUCGGAAUCACUGGGCGUAAAGAGUGCGUAGGCGGGAUUGCAAGUCAGAUGUGAAAUCCUAUAGCUUAACCAUAGAACUGCAUUUGAAACUGUUAUUCUAGAGUGUGGGAGAGGUAGGUGGAAUUCUUGGUGUAGGGGUAAAAUCCGUAGAGAUCAAGAGGAAUACUCAUUGCGAAGGCGACCUACUGGAACAUAACUGACGCUGAUGCGCGAAAGCGUGGGGAGCAAACAGGAUUAGAUACCCCAGUAGUC
Molecule: ribosomal RNA, 440 nt
Filed under: uncultured bacterium
Lineage: Bacteria
Description: partial 16S ribosomal RNA
Rfam family: Bacterial small subunit ribosomal RNA
Source: RNAcentral